GCUGCACAUUGUUAAAGCCUGGCGUUGAGGCUGCCGACUGACCGAGGAACUCACAAGCGUAGGUGAAGUGCUGCAUGAGGGGCAAGUCUUGCACUAAAACCACAAGGGUCUCUAGCCCAAUGAGUGGAGUUUGAUAAUAAUUCUUGCUACAAGU
This 154-nucleotide small nucleolar RNA is filed under the name Vulpes vulpes (red fox). Lineage: Eukaryota; Metazoa; Chordata; Mammalia; Carnivora; Canidae. The record is from RNAcentral.